Gallus gallus (chicken) is the source of this 5685-nucleotide long non-coding RNA. RefSeq lists it as uncharacterized. The transcript has 2 exons. The record is from RefSeq and is a predicted model, not a curated record. NCBI's taxonomy places the organism in Eukaryota, Metazoa, Chordata, Aves, Galliformes, Phasianidae.
CCUAGAGGAAUAUGGAGAAAGGAAACAAUAGUUUAUUAGGACACAGCUAUUUUGAGAUGUUGAUGAUGACAAUUUUAAAAUGAAAAGCAGAAGCAAUUAAUUCAAGUUCUUUCCUAUCUCUUCAACAUUACAGUUGAAAAAUAUCAUGUCUAAGGUGAUCUCCUUUACAUAACUUCUCUCAAAUAUUUUCUACUUUUAUCAGUCUUGUAACUUUGGAAAUAUUUUCAAAAGCAAGCAAUCCAGAAAGUCAAUUAAGAGUUGUUUUAUCCUUUAUUCCUUUCCUUCUCUAAGUAUGCAGUUUGUUUCCCACCAGAAGUUCCCAAUAUACGGAAGGCUUUAAGAGGAUAAAAUUAAUGUGCAGAUCAAAGGUUGUCACUGUAACUCCUACCACUAUCACACACAGAGAGAUUUAGUUUAUGGUACCAAAAGCCAGCUCUCUCCAACAAAGAGUAUCUGGUCUCUUGUUCCACUAAAACACAUUCUAUCUCAGACUUUCUACAUCACGUGGAGAACUAGAGUGAUCUGGGCAGCAUCAAUAUUGGUGAGAGUGGAAAUCACUUGGCUCCUUUCUUCAGUUCUGAUUCCUAUUGGUCAUAUAAGACUUGAAGGAAUUUUGCUUUUGCUGGCCACUGUUGCUAUAGCCAGACUUGUCUUCUGAGCAUUCAGGGAAUGCAGGAAUGUGUGCAGUGACAUAGCUUCCAACUGAACCAUACCAUGCAGGGUGAAGAAAAGGUUAUGCUUUCAGAACACAUCAUGCUUUCCAAACAUAUUACCUACAAAGCUAUCGGUUUGCAGUUCCUCAGUGAUGAAGGAAUACAUCGGAAGUAGUACAAUUAGAUUAUACCGGUUGUUUUCUUGGUUUCUUUAUUCAUUUAUGUGAAUCUUACAUAUACAUGCGUGUUUAUGUAUGUAUGUACAUUAUAAGGGAAGUGUGGGGUCUGAACAUGGCAGCACUUCAGGCUGCCUGCAGAAUUAGGAGCAGAGAUGUAGCACAGCAUCCAUUCAAAGACAGUAAACCAUUUCCAAGGGACCUUAGGCCAGGCAACUUCAAAAAAUAUGGCUUAGAUUUUGAAGUACCCAGUGUGCAAAGCCUGGUUGCUCAUGCAUGCUCUAUCUGAAAUUUUAAUUGCUGUUGAUGAAUUUGGAAAUCUUGAGGUACACUGACUGACUGUAAACCUAGAAAAACUCCUAUUGCAUAAGUAUCACAGUGUUAAAUGAGAGAGAAAUUCACUCCCCCAAAUCUUUAAUCUGUUCUGUGUUCCAUACUGAUUCCCUGUCACUUCUGAGUGAAUGCAGUUUUAAUUACUGUCAUUACGUUCCUGGGUGGGGAGCAAUUCUCCUUCAGUCUGCAUAGCAGAAAACAAAACUCCAAAACAAGAGAACAUGUCAUUUGCUUUUGUAUUUUUUAUAGUUCAGAUAAAACUGGAGGCAGAAAUACCUUGGUACCUUGACUGAUACUGUACAGAACCAAUGAUGUUUUGUUGCAGCAUUCCUUCACUGUUCUUAUUGAACGUGUUAAUAGCUUAAAGUAUCCAUGAGAAAGUAUGCUUAAUUCACCUCUACAGAUGAAUUUACACUGGACAUAGAAAUUCAACAGUCCUUAUGGCACAACCAUCUGCUUUGCAGCAGUGGGGUCCAAAAAAUAAUAAUAACCCUUAAUGACAUAACCUGUUCUAUGCUUUGUACCAGAAGCUACUGGGUCAGCUGGAGGUAAUUCAGACAAAUAGAUUAAUGAGCUGACAAGUGGGAAGCAUAAAAACUACAAACCAGAUUUCUGAAUGUAACAGUCUAUUGUGAUACUGCUUCUUAUUGAAAAUAAUUUGGUGAGGAGAAAUAGAGUUUUUAGUCAUCCUUAAAUUAUUUUGUCACUUCCUCUGACUUUACUGUUUAAGAAAAUAGAUGUGUUUUUUCAAAGAUAAGUUUUAAAAAUAUGUAUGACUACAGUACGUGCUUAUCAGUACAACAAAGUUUAUUGCAUGCCAGAAUUCACCCAGGAGAUGAGAGGUGCCAGUAACUGACAGGUCUGGAUUGCUUUUGGCUUUAAUUACUCAACUGUAGACCUUACAUGGGGUUACCACACAAACAUCAGCUUCUUUCUGAUUCUGCAGACUUUGAGCCAUUCCCACUGAAAUGUCCUUGUGUUCUGUGUGCUGGCUGUUGUUUAUCACUCAAAAAUGUUCAUUGAACAGGGAGCAAAAAUAUUUCUCUUGAAAAUCAAGAGCUUGAUAGUGGUUUUGAAGCAUGUUGGCAUUCACUGUCACUUGCCUAAGGCCCUCACCUCACCUCUUUGCAUCUCUCCCUUUAUAAAACAAAACUACAAGAGUGUUUCAGGUGUGGCUACUUUCCAAACAAGCAAUUGUUCAUUCAAGAGAAAUCACCAUUAAAGAAAAAGAGAAGGGAGAAAACAAACAAAACACGAACCCCAGGACCGGCCACUUAUCCCCACAACAGUUACCUACAAAACAGAGAGGAGUUUGGAUUUGUGCCCAGGGAGUAAUGGAAACUGUGGCAGCACUGGUCAAAUACAAGUAUGGUGCCCUGUGUCAGGUCUGUCCUGGGCUGUGCCUCCUCUUAUGGCUUUACAGGCUGGUGUGGCAUGGCUAUAGCUCAGCCUGGAGUUCAGAAUAUGUCUGCUUUUAUUUUUUUAUUUUUACAAGAUCUGUUCAUUUACUUGCUUCUAAAUGUUACUUAGUUGAUAGCUCACUGAAGUUGGUCACUGAGUUUGUAUUUAAUUUUCUGCCCUUUCUUUACUGUAAAGGGAAAUACAUUUGUUCUAUCUCCUAUGCUUGUAGGGCAGUAACCACUACACCAGAAAGCUUCAGGUCCCAAAACACAUAGGUACCAAUGAGUUGUAGCUACUGACAGACAGAACAGAUGGCUAAAUACAUAAGAUGAGGGGCUGCCUUUGCACUAGCUAGCCUUAAACAAAUGGGUUGUGCUGUAAAUAAUUACUGCAUGAAGUGGAUUAGAGUGUAAUUUAGAUACUUAGCCCAUUUUUAAGCGGUAAAAAUAAUCAUUUGCAUUGUUGAAAACAUGUAUAAUUUAGUGACCCGGGUUCCACAAAUAAUAGCAUAAAGUAACAUGUUAGUCCAUUGGCCAUCUGUUUUGUUACAUUAACCUGAAUGCAAAUGUGUUUUAAUGCCAUUUCAAAGGGGUACAGGAUGGAGAUUCAAGCUUAGGAAUCAAAUAAGCAUUUCUAACCAAUAGUGUGGGGCUAACAGUGUAAAUACAGGUUUUAUUUUCAAUUCUGUUGUUCGGAUUGACCCUUAUUUUCUUCCCCCAGUCCGUGCAUCUUUUUGUGGCCCUUCUUCAAUCUCAGUGCUCUGCAACAUCGUUUUAUUUCACAGAUUGUUUAAGAAUGAUUUUUGCCCUGUGGUAGACUGGCUAUCUUUCUGUCCAAUGAUUGCUUUCUUCAAACUGGCUUUUACGUGUGUAUGUGUCAAUCUACUAUGCAUAGAUUCUAGUGAUUUUUAGAACAGUUGUACUAUAGCUAAGUGCAUAAAACAGAAUUAAAUGAUUAAAUGGGGCUGGAUUCAAAAUAUCUUGCUUUCCAACUAUAUAAAAACAGACAGCAUUUUCUAGCAGUAAUGCUUGCAUGGGAGCAUGCAGGACUCCUUAGCUUUCUGCUUUCUGAGUUUGGGAUGGAUGCUAAAUGUUCACUUUCACAUUGUUUUCUCUACUUCAAAUGCCAGACUGAAAACAGGUCAGUUACAGCAAAAUCACCAAUAUAUCAGUACUAAAUUAGCUAUGGUUUCUAGUAAUUAAAAGGUAAUUAGCUAUCAUUUCUAGUUCGUUCAUAAUGGUUUCUAGUUCUUUCAUACCUUAAGGCAGGUUUGAAAUAGAUAAAUAUAUAACCAUCUCAAUUAUAUACUUACCUCAUGCUAAAAGCAAGCUAAGAGUGUUCUCAGUGUUUACAAAUUCAUGACCUGGUUCAAUUUUGAACAUUCAAGAGAAUGAAAGCUGCAUUUCCAAAUUCAAGCAAGAUGUUAUAACCAGCCUAGGACCAAAAGAUUUUUAUGCAUCGUUUUCUGCCUUAUUAAUUUAACAAGAUCUUAGCAGAUGGCUCUUCCUACUGUUGACCAUCUCAGGCAGAGACUUCACUUUAUUAGAAUGACACUUUGUCUGAGAGGGAGAGAUUUUUACAUUAGGGUAUUUUAUAAACAGGUCAUCAAAUCCCACUCUACAACUGUGCAGUAAACAGAUGCACAGUACCAAAAUCCUUAUCACUUUAGAAGAAGCAUUCAAGCAAGUCUGCGGUAGUAAGCCUGCAAGCUUCAGGUAGUUUCUUAAAAGGUAACUAAAAACCUAAUUUUGCUUUUAGAAUUGUUGGAAACAACUCUGAAAGUGUAGUAGAGCCUGAGCUUCCUCCCAGUUUUACAUUGUAAUAGUUGUUGUGGUUGUUUUACACCAGGGAGGAAAAAAAAAACAACAGCAGAGUCAAAAGUGUAGGAAUGAUGAACCUUCCUGUCUGUGUAGAGAUUUUCUGUGAGAAAAAUCAGUUAUUUUAGAGGCUUUUUUGUUGGUGGUAGUGGUGGUUUUUCUUUUGGACAGAUUUGCAUCUUGAAUUGGUGAUAAAUUAAUCAACAUGAUUGUGCAGUGGAAAUUUAAAAGAGUAGCUUUCCAGUAGAGGUGAUAUUUGACUAUCUAAUAGCCCGGAAAGGUUAAUUGAAUAGUUCAGCCACUCAGGGAAGAGCUUAAAUAAAAACUUUCCUUGUUGAUUUAUCAGAUUCAAACUUAUUAGAAUUGCACUUCAGAAGAGGAGACCAAAAAAUCAGUAAUCCAUGAAGCAGGCUCAACAUUACUUCUGAAUUAAACUGGUAUUAUCAUUUUACUUUGAAUUACCACAUAUUUGCUAAGAUACUGUAUGUACAUUCUCUCUCCCGCUAAAAGGCACUUUUCUUAGCUUUUAACUGCUCACAUGUGAUGGGAAAACGUUGGGGAAAAUUUUUCUAAUAGUCUCAUCAGUCCUGAGUUUGCAUAACAACUUGUCCUGGGCCAAGCACACUUGUGCUUCUGUUGCAGAUGCCUUCUCAUUUAACAGUCUUUGUUUUGUUUUUUUCCCCUCUGUAACUCACUGACAUUCUCAGGAAGUAAAUCUGAUUAAUUUUUUUUUUUUUUUUUCGGUCAACUGUUCUUAAGUGCUCCUGAAGGGAACAUGCAGCUGGUUGGAAGGAGGUGACAGGUACUUAACGUUUACUUCUCUGAGUCACGGACUGGAUGGUGGCUGUGCACUGCGUUGGUAACACUCCAUUUCAUCUCAACUACUGAACCUAAGAACAUGUAGUAGUUAUCAGCCACACUGAAAAAUGUGGAAAAUACAUUAUUUGUAGUAUUUUUCAUUUAAAUAGGUAGCUGCUGUGAAGAAGCACAUUAUUCUACUCCUGCAACUUCCUUUCUGAAAAGAAAAACAAAUUUGCUACCUAAUGAACACUUAAUUCUUACAGUGCUCUCUUACUUCUGAUGAACUUUAAGAUGCGUGGAUGCAAAGCGUGCUGAAGAUGCAACGUGUGAUUACUUGUUAGAAACAGCAACAGAAGCUUCUAUGCACGUGAUCUGAAGAGAUAGCCAGACGUGGUUUGCUGAACUGUAGAAUGCCUUACCUGUAGAAUGCCUUACCUUACCUUUUGAUUUUCUCCUUGAUCUCAGUUGUAAGAAGUGGAUCAACCUAUAAAAAUCAAAAACAGA